GGGAUCACAGCUUCUCCCUUGCAUCUUUUCUGGCAGUUUGAGGGUUGGUGCAGACAUUUUGCUCUCCUGCUCCCCAGUCCUGGUGGUCCAGAGAAGAGCCCUCACUGCUUUCCCUUUCAUUCCACAGCCGCAUGCACUGACUCCGUGGCUCCAUCACCACGCUCUUCAUUGUCCAGUGACAGGCUGCUGGCAGUGGGACUCCACUCCAAUUAUCUCUUCCAUCGUAUCCCUUGAAGCCAGGCUCCAAGGACAACUUCCUUGCCAUGGGGACCUCACCUGAAGAAGAGUUUUUUGUGCAAGUUGUGCUGCUUCUCACAACAUUUGGCCAGCACAACCUCGCUGGCACUUACCCUGCUGCAUGGGAAGCCGAGCUGCACACCCAAGCUGUGAGAUCCUCCUGAGAGAAGCUGCUAUGCACAAAUAAAGAAUGUUGGAGAAAGGAUAAGGGGAUGAGGCAGGUGUGUGUGGGCUGAAAUGGAAAGCCAGGGGCUGGUGUGAUAGAUUUAUGACAAGACUGGAGGAGAGGCUGAGGAGAUCUACUUAUUAUAAUUUAAAAAAUGGUCCCAUCAAAAGACUGCCAAGAGUG
Motacilla alba alba is the source of this 586-nucleotide long non-coding RNA. RefSeq lists it as uncharacterized. The transcript is spliced from 3 exons. The record is from RefSeq and is a predicted model, not a curated record. Lineage: Eukaryota; Metazoa; Chordata; Aves; Passeriformes; Motacillidae.